This 684-nucleotide ribosomal RNA is filed under the name uncultured Psychrobacter sp. RNAcentral describes it as "bacterial SSU rRNA". It matches the Rfam family "Bacterial small subunit ribosomal RNA", at positions 61 to 736 of the family's 1533-position model. Lineage: Bacteria; Pseudomonadati; Pseudomonadota; Gammaproteobacteria; Moraxellales; Moraxellaceae. The record is from RNAcentral.
GUCGAGCGGAAACGAUGAUAGCUUGCUAUCAGGCGUCGAGCGGCGGACGGGUGAGUAAUACUUAGGAAUCUACCUAGUAGUGGGGGAUAGCUCGGGGAAACUCGAAUUAAUACCGCAUACGUCCUACGGGAGAAAGCAGGGGAUCAUUAGACCUUGCGCUAUUAGAUGAGCCUAAGUCGGAUUAGCUAGAUGGUGGGGUAAAGGCCUACCAUGGCGACGAUCUGUAGCUGGUCUGAGAGGAUGAUCAGCCACACCGGGACUGAGACACGGCCCGGACUCCUACGGGAGGCAGCAGUGGGGAAUAUUGGACAAUGGGGGGAACCCUGAUCCAGCCAUGCCGCGUGUGUGAAGAAGGCCUUUUGGUUGUAAAGCACUUUAAGCAGUGAAGAAGACCUAACGGUUAAUACCCGUUAGCGAUGACAUUAGCUGCAGAAUAAGCACCGGCUAACUCUGUGCCAGCAGCCGCGGUAAUACAGAGGGUGCAAGCGUUAAUCGGAAUUACUGGGCGUAAAGCGAGCGUAGGUGGCUUGAUAAGUCAGAUGUGAAAUCCCCGGGCUUAACCUGGGAACUGCAUCUGAAACUGUUAGGCUAGAAUAGGUGAGAGGAAGGUAGAAUUCCAGGUGUAGCGGUGAAAUGCGUAGAGAUCUGGAGGAAUACCGAUGGCGAAGGCAGCCUUCUGGCAUC